This 107-nucleotide small nucleolar RNA is filed under the name Nelumbo nucifera (sacred lotus). RNAcentral describes it as "Plant small nucleolar RNA R71". It matches the Rfam family "Plant small nucleolar RNA R71". Rfam says of the family: R71 is a member of the C/D box family of snoRNAs containing the C (UGAUGA) and D (CUGA) box motifs. Multiple nearly identical copies of this snoRNA have been identified in Arabidopsis, and it is thought to function as a 2'-O-ribose methylation guide for 18S ribosomal RNA. Lineage: Eukaryota; Viridiplantae; Streptophyta; Magnoliopsida; Proteales; Nelumbonaceae. The record is from Rfam by way of RNAcentral.
AUCCCAUGGUGAGGGCACUUCCUAAGCAUCUCCUUGAAUCAUUCCCAUGCUUCAUACAAAGAUUCCCUCUUAAACUGAGCAAAAGUAGUGAUAUCAUUAAUUAAUUU